This is an RNA transcript of Strongylocentrotus purpuratus (purple sea urchin), 600 nucleotides long. RefSeq lists it as uncharacterized. The transcript is spliced from 3 exons. The record is from RefSeq and is a predicted model, not a curated record. Lineage: Eukaryota; Metazoa; Echinodermata; Echinoidea; Camarodonta; Strongylocentrotidae.
AAAAAAAAUACCGCCCCCUUUCGUCCGUAACAAAAUCUCUUCGUCUUUGGUCUUGAUCGGAAGUCGAGAAACAACCGCGACCAUGCCUUCCCACAAGACAUUCAAAAUCAAGCAGAAGCUUGCUAAGAAGCAAAAGCAGAAUCGCCCCAUCCCACAGUGGGUGCGUCUCAGGACAGGCAACAGGAUUCGCUACAACGCCAAGAGACGUCACUGGAAGCGAACGAAGCUGAACUUCUAGGAUGUUCUGAUCAACGGACUGUUCUUUCUCUUCACAUGGACAAACUCUAAGCAAGCAUCAGCCCAGACUCAGGGCAACCGUCACAUCUUGCUCAGAACAGAACAUCACAUGAGUACUCAUGAUGAGUUGAUGGAAAGCAUAGUUCACUAAAAUUCAAACUUUGCAGAUAAUAAUGAUCACUUUCGCAAGAUGGUGUUUAAAAGGCUCCUGGUUUUUCGCCACUCGGUCGUCGUCAUCAUCAUCACCGGAACCCUCCAGCUCUGGAAAUCUGGAUUUGAAUCAGGAAGUUUAUUUGAAGCCCGUCCUGCGUGACCUGGUCAUGUUUGUCAAUAAAUGUUUCUUCAUGUGAAGAGGAUAUCAAA